Molecule: long non-coding RNA, 3024 nt
Filed under: Medicago truncatula (barrel medic)
Lineage: Eukaryota; Viridiplantae; Streptophyta; Magnoliopsida; Fabales; Fabaceae
Description: long non-coding RNA (MTRU_LNC004575)
Source: RNAcentral
UCCCCCCCAUAAAUUUUAUGCAAAUAAUUUCAAUUUCGUAAAUCUAUAUUAGACUCCAAUUUGUCCAAAUACACAAACAGAGCUUUAAAACUCUAUCAAUGAACUUCUAACCACAUAUUACACCAUCAGAUUUUCAUUUGUUAAAUUUAGAACCAUGCCAUUUGAAUUAAUGAGACUCAUUUAAUAGAUUCUCUACACACUCCCUUUAGCCUUGUUUCUUCUCUCAUAGACUUUCUUGAUAGGGGUGCAUCCUAACAUAGUAACAUUGGAUUAUGUCAUGUUAAGUUCACACAUAGAGAAUGUUGUUUUUUGUAAUUUGAAAAUUACGACGGAGUUUUGAAACUAUUAUCGGGGUGAGUCACGAUCAGGUCGCUUUCUUUAAGACGUUUCGCGGCACUACCUAAGUUGUGCAACGUAGAUUAGCAACCGCGCCGUCUCCAGGAUAAAACAGCCCAGAUUCUUACUGUACGAUUAAAGGCUGCACUGCCAGAAAUCGCUCGAGAAUAACACCUCAGUAUGGUUUCGAAAAGUUUCGAAAAACCACUCUAAUAUGGCACGCAGACCACUCGAGAAACCAAAGAGGGAGGAAGAAAAGAACGGUUCGUCAACACAAACCGAGGGAGAUGAGAAGGGGAGAAAACCAGAGAAGAGGAUUCGAUUCUCGGUUUUGGAGUGAAGAAUCCCAUUCCCGAGCUCUCUAUUUAUAGAGGGGAAUUUUCCUCGUUUUCUCCGCCGACCCGGUUCGCGACCCGCCAAACCCAGCCCGCCCGGUCGGACGGACGGCGUCGUCGCCGCGCGCGCAUGUGGCUUAUAUAAUUUUUGGCUAGUGCUCACUCCGUUCACAAAAGUGGGUACCCCAAGGGCACACCCUUGGAAGUGAUUUCCCACAUAUAUAAACACUACUAGAGUGUGUUAUCUACCCAAUGUGGGACAUAAAAUUUUCAAUUCACACUUUACACUAGUUUCUACAUCAUUGUGUUUACAUUCCAAUGUCUCCUCAUAACAACUAGUAUACUCCAAGUUUUUGCCAAUAUACACUAGUGUUCCAACAGAGAAGCAAAAGGAUAUAAUGAAUUGUCCAGGAAAAUAUGAAAUCUAUAAUUUCAAAAGAGCUCCCAUAUCUUUAUGUGUAUAUGCAACAACUUUGAUUAAAAAACAUAAAUAUGAACAGGUAAAUAGCAUAGCUUCUCUUACACAACUAAUAAAAAAAUAGCUCUCAACAUCCCGUGAGCGUAGCUCAGUUGAUAUGGACAUCACAUUAUGUUUGAACCCUGGAUUACCCAUUUAUUUACCUUAAUGUUGUGUUUGGUUCCAAGGAAAGAAAGAUGGAUGGAAUGGAAAGAGAGUGGAAUGAUGCCCUUUCCACCGUUUGGAACACCUACAAAGCUAAGGAAAACAAGUUUCUUGUGUGGGUCCCACGUUAGAAUUGUUUAUGUGCUAAAGAGAUGAGAAAGUGAGAGGAUGCCACUAUUUAUAUUGCAUUUACAAAAAUACCCUCCAGUCUUGUGUAUUUUUACAACACAUAUUUCAAUUUUUUUCUUUUAUUUUGAACCAUGCUCUCAUAUAUUUUAUUAUUUUCAAUACUUAUACACAUUUCUUAGCAUGCUCAAAUUAAAACUCUUGAUAGUCAUUUUUUUUUGAUCAAUUUUAAUAGUGUUUAUAUCAAAAUUAUUUAAAUGUAUUUUUAUUGAAAAUUAUUUAAAUAACACAAUAACAUAGGGUUAUUUAUGUCAUUUAAUAAAUUCAUUUAUUUAUUUCCUCCCUUACUUUCACUAUAACCAAACAACCAACAAAUCAUCCAACUUUCUACUCACUUCUUACUUUCUUUCCUUUAACCUUAUUUCCUCUAACUUUCUUUCCUUCCACUAUCCAAACAUACCCUAAGGGUUGAAUUUCUAGCCGCUAUGCUAUUUGAUAAAAAAAAAAAUUCUCAACCAAAAAAAACUAAUUAAAAAAUAGAAUAAAAAUUAACAAAUAGUAAUACACAAAAUUGCCGUAGAAAAGUGACGCCUUCAACAAAGUCGGAGCAAAACACUUAUAACAACGACAAAUACAGAAUAGGAAAUGAAAAAUAGAAAAAAAUUCAACGGUGCCUUCAACAAAGUAAUUCCUAUCCAUGGUGACCUUUGUUCUAGGAACAAAAUUAGUGGUAAAGAUUUGAUCUUGGCAAAGAGCUCACCGAAGAGAAGAAUCUUGUCGAGUAAUUGUUAUUCAUGGUGAACUUUUUUGUAAUAUACUUCAUUUUUAUAUACGGUUGAGGCAAUCACAAUGGCACUGCAGCAAUCCUUGACAUUAUAUUGCGGACACAAUCAAGGUCGUGAACGAUUUUAAGAACGUAAACCAAAACAUAAUGAAAGAAAAUGAGAGAAAUUAACUAAAAGUUACGUUGGUUGCUGUAUUUGCCGUAUGCAACUCUUCUAUUAUCUGCAAUGUUUUGAAAUUUGAUGCAUUUGCAUUCUUUUUCUAUAUCUACAAUAAUUUGCAUAAAAAUAAUCUUAUUAUGUUUUGCGUCAUUUAUUGAAAUAAUCCUAUUUUUCAUUGUACCUAAUGUUGUUAAUCUUUUGCUUCUUUUUCAAGUGAUAUACACGAUCAGUACCAAGACUUAUUGCAACUUUUUGAAUGUGGUGGCUACCCUCCACAAAUAAACUAUGCGUUUCUUGGUGAUAUCGAGAUUGAAUUCAUCUCUUGAGAGAAAACCAUGAAGUUGCAAAGAUGAACCUUCACCACAAAAAGGGAAGCAAUAUUUGAAGACUCUAUGUUCGCUUUUGACACACAAAAUAAGAUAUUGAGAUAGAAUCUCUCGAGAAAAAACCAUGAAGUUGCAAAGAUGAACCUUCACACAAAAAGAAAGACUUGCAAAAAUAUUUUUGCACAGCUGAACAAAAAAAAGCAUACCUUUACCACCAAAAGAACAUACCCAACAUGCCACAUCUUCAAUGUUACAAUAUUUAUGCUUUUCUCGAUUUAUUGCAGAUAUGUUGUUACCGAGUCAAAGACAAAAGGGGGAAAUGAGAGAAAGAAACA